UGGGGAAUCUUGCACAAUGGGGGCAACCCUGAUGCAGCGACGCCGCGUGAGCGAUGAAGGUUUUCGAAUCGUAAAGCUCUGUCCUAUGGGAAGAUAAUGACGGUACCAUAGGAGGAAGCCCCGGCUAACUACGUGCCAGCAGCCGCGGUAAUACGUAGGGGGCGAGCGUUGUCCGGAAUUACUGGGCGUAAAGGGUUCGCAGGCGGCAUGGCGAGUCCGAUGUAAAAGGCGAAGGCUCAACCUUCGUAAGCAUCGGAAACUGUCAAGCUUGAGUGAAGGAGAGGCAAGUGGAAUUCCUAGUGUAGCGGUGGAAUGCGUAGAUAUUAGGAGGAAUACCGGUGGCGAAGGCGACUUGCUGGACUUCAACUGACGCUGAGGAACGAAAGCGUGGGUAGCAAACAGG
RNAcentral lists this ribosomal RNA (403 nucleotides) under Fusobacteriota bacterium. RNAcentral's name for it is "Fusobacteria bacterium partial 16S ribosomal RNA". It matches the Rfam family "Bacterial small subunit ribosomal RNA", at positions 355 to 776 of the family's 1533-position model. Lineage: Bacteria; Fusobacteriati; Fusobacteriota. The record is from RNAcentral.